ACAGACACACAUACACAAAGCAUAUUUCACACUGUUACGCGACGGUUUCUGCCAGUUUGCUCAUCAUGGCAAGUCACGUUAAGGAACUUCG
Long non-coding RNA from Chrysoperla carnea, 91 nucleotides. RefSeq lists it as uncharacterized. NCBI's taxonomy places the organism in Eukaryota, Metazoa, Arthropoda, Insecta, Neuroptera, Chrysopidae. The record is from RefSeq and is a predicted model, not a curated record. The transcript has 3 exons.